UACGAAGGGAGCUAGCGUUGUUCGGAAUCACUGGGCGUAAAGCGCACGUAGGCGGAUGUGUCAGUCAGGGGUGAAAUCCCGGAGCUCAACUUCGGAACUGCCUUUGAUACAGCACGUCUUGAGUCCGGAAGAGGUGGGUGGAAUUCCUAGUGUAGAGGUGAAAUUCGUAGAUAUUAGGAAGAACACCGGUGGCGAAGGCGGCCCACUGGUCCGGUACUGACGCUGAGACGCGAAAGCGUGGGGAGCGAACAGG
RNAcentral lists this ribosomal RNA (253 nucleotides) under uncultured bacterium. RNAcentral describes it as "partial 16S ribosomal RNA". It matches the Rfam family "Bacterial small subunit ribosomal RNA", at positions 524 to 776 of the family's 1533-position model. The record is from RNAcentral.